Molecule: ribosomal RNA, 253 nt
Filed under: uncultured bacterium
Lineage: Bacteria
Description: partial 16S ribosomal RNA
Rfam family: Bacterial small subunit ribosomal RNA
Source: RNAcentral
UACGUAGGGAGCAAGCGUUGUCCGGAAUCAUUGGGCGUAAAGCGCGCGUAAGUGGCCACAUAAGUCCGUUGUGAAAGUCAAAGGCUCAACCUUUGAAAGCCGAUGGAUACUGUGUGGCUAGAGUACGGAAGAGGCGAGUGAAAUUCCUGGUGUAGCGGUGGAAUGCGCAGAUAUCAGGAGGAACACCAGUGGCGAAGGCGGCUUCCUGGACACCAACUGACGCUGAGACGCGAAAGCGUGGGGAGCAAACAGG